GAUGAACGCUGGCGGCGUGCCUAAUACAUGCAAGUCGAGCGAACAGACGAGGAGCUUGCUCCUCUUACGUUAGCGGCGGACGGGGGAGUAACACGUGGAGAACCUACCUAUAAGACUGGGAUAACUUCGUGAAACCGGAGCUAAUACCGGAUAAUAUAUUCAACCGCAUGGUUCAGUAGUUAAAGACGGUUUGGCUUUCACUGAUAGAUGGAUCCGCGCCGCAUUAGCUAGUUGGUAAGGUAACGGCUUACCAAGGCAACGAUGCGUAGCCGACCUGAGAGGAUGACCGGCCACACUGGAACUGAGACACGGUCCAGACUCCUACGGGAGGCAGCAGUAGGGAAUAUUCCGCAAUGGGCGCAAGCCUGACGGAGCAACGCCGCGUGAGUGAUGAAGGUCUUCGGAUCGUAAAACUCUGUUAUCAGGGAAGAACAAAUGUGUAAGUAACUAUGCACGUCUUGACGGUACCUAAUCAGAAAGCCACGGCUAACUCCGUG
RNAcentral lists this ribosomal RNA (497 nucleotides) under uncultured bacterium. Its description in RNAcentral is "partial 16S ribosomal RNA". It matches the Rfam family "Bacterial small subunit ribosomal RNA", at positions 28 to 507 of the family's 1533-position model. The record is from RNAcentral.